RNAcentral lists this ribosomal RNA (121 nucleotides) under Petromyzon marinus (sea lamprey). Lineage: Eukaryota; Metazoa; Chordata; Hyperoartia; Petromyzontiformes; Petromyzontidae. The record is from RNAcentral.
GCCGAUGACCAAAUCGCCCCGGACUGUGGAAAAUAUCACCGCACCUCAUAAUCUAAGCGGCGUUCAGCCUGGUGAGUACUUAGAUGGGGAGACUGCCUGGGAAUACCAGGUGUUGUCGGCA